Molecule: ribosomal RNA, 392 nt
Filed under: uncultured bacterium
Lineage: Bacteria
Description: bacterial SSU rRNA
Rfam family: Bacterial small subunit ribosomal RNA
Source: RNAcentral
UGGGCAAUGGGCGAAAGCCUGACCCAGCAACGCCGCGUGAGGGAUGAAGUAUUUCGGUAUGUAAACCUCGAAAGAAUGGGAAGAAUAAAUGACGGUACCAUUUAUAAGCUCCGGCUAACUACGUGCCAGCAGCCGCGGUAAUACGUAGGGAGCAAGCGUGGUUCGGAUUUACUGGGCGUAAAGGGCGCGUAGGCGGCGCGGUAAGUCACUUGUGAAAUCUCUGAGCUUAACUCAGAACGGCCAAGUGAUACUGCUGUGCUAGAGUGCGGAAGAGGCUACCGGAAUUCUUGGUGUAGCGGUGAAAUGCGUAGAUAUCAAGAGGAACUCCUGACGCGAAGGCGGGUUGCUGGGCCGACACUGACGCUGAUGCGCGAAAGCCAGGGGAGCAAACG